CUUCAUUUCUUCUUUUCCUUCUAUUCUUCCUUCUUUUCUAUUCUACCCGAACACACACAGAGAGAGUCGGAGAGACUGAGGGAGGAGAGAAAUAGAGAGAUGAGACCGAGAGAGAACCGAGAGAUGUGAGAGCCGAGAGAUGCUGAGAGAGAGAUGAGAUCGGGAGAGUUGAGGAGUGAUCGGAGCCCGAUCCUCCGGUGGGUGGCGCCGUCGAGACCAGAGGACGCCGGCGACGCGAUCUCCGGUGAGCCCGUGAACCAGAGAUGACCCGGGAGAGAGAGAACCCGAAACCCAUAGAACCCGUGACCCACAACCUGUGAGGACCCGAUCCUCCAUGAUCGGCGACUGGGACUGAAAUCCGGCGAUGGUGGAGCUCCGGCGAAAUCCAGGAGCUUGAACCCGCGACCCGUGAGCCCAGAAAACCCGAGACCCGUAGCAGACCUGAGCUGAACCCAACUAUUCCCGGUGGAAUUCUGGUUGUUGGAGGAGCGGCUUAUGGAGCUGUGGUGGUCGGACCACCGUUGUACUGUGGAGGCAGUGGCUGGAGCAAGGGAUUUUGGCCCCUGUUUUGGAUUGUGUUGUAAUUGGAGACUUCAAUGGUUCUCCAAGGUAGAGUUCGAGUAAUUGGAAUCCAGUGGGAGUUCGAGUCAGGAGUCUAAUGCAGCCAAGAUGAUGUUUCUUUGGCUGCAGGUACUACGGUAUAGUCGAUGGGUCGGUAGCAGUGUGCUUGGGAUAUUAUGACUGAAGCUCACCGCGACGGUUGUAAUUGUCGGACCACUGGUUGUCCACUAUUUUAUAGGAUUGGUAUAGCUUGUGAUGUUUGUGUCACAUAUUCUUUGUAAAGCUAUAGUAGUUUUGUAAAUAAUGUGUUAAUAAGACUCAUACAGAUAGAUGUUAAAUGGCUCUUUGUUGUAAUUAAUUUGUGAUAGAUGUAUAAGUUGUAAUUUCCGCUAUUCA
Alnus glutinosa is the source of this 957-nucleotide long non-coding RNA. RefSeq lists it as uncharacterized. The record is from RefSeq and is a predicted model, not a curated record. The transcript has 3 exons. Lineage: Eukaryota; Viridiplantae; Streptophyta; Magnoliopsida; Fagales; Betulaceae.